UUCUUCUCAAAAGAGUUUCCAUGAAUCUGUUUCAAGAGUGACACAUAUCAGCUUAACCGCAAGCAAAGAAAAAAGGUAUGCCGAAUAUUGGACAUAUGAAAAAAGUCCAUUAAGUGAAAAAAGGUAAACCUUCAAAAUAUCAGCUAAUCCCAUACAAAUAGAUAAUAAAUGGAACAUAGUUAGAACGAAAAGCUGAACUUGUGAAAUACAGAAGUAAACAUCUAAGAGCAUACCACGGAUCGUGUGUUAUCCCAGGAGAAGUAUGUCCUGAAGAAGCAAGGUUCAUUCCCUUCAUUGACUUUAUAGAGAGGCACAUCAGGAGAAAUACCUUCAAAGGCCACAGCAUGUUGUACGUAUUUCUGGGAGGGAAGCAAUCGUUUAUAGGAGUUGGACGAUAGUGAUCCAACCAAAAACAGAAAGGUUAACACUUAAACUUGGUACCUACCUGACCAAUGUCAAAUGCUUUCUGUUUUUCUUUUGUCUCCACACACUGACCCAUCCAAACAAAAACCUCACCGUGUGUAUCAAGUAUCAUCGUAUCUUCAGUCAACAAAUCAUCUUGUGAAAAAUUGAAAACUUCAGUAACCUGUGUACAAGUGAGCUUUCAGAAUUUUUUGAAAAAACAAGAUUAUUGGAACAUGACCAAUUUGGAUCAAAUCAAUACAGCAACACACCUCCAGCUUCCCUGACAAAUGGUGAUGAUGUUAUCGUGAUUGAAGCAAAAAAAAUGAUAAUUAAACGUUAGGGUCACUAUAAAGCAUAGAAAACAGAUUGAGAAACACUGUGAAUAGAAGGUUUGACUACUACUAACCAUUCCUAAGAGAGAAGGUAUACAAAUGAGGCUCUCUAAUAACAGCAUCAGGUGCAGCACUUUUACUUGUAUAACUCUGCUUUCCACCAAUAGAAGACCAGAAAAUAGAGCUCUCAGUGCCCUCCUUGCAAUGUUUGACAGCAACACCGGUCUGUAGGAUUAGGGGUACAGAUAAUUUAAGUGAGUAAUAGUGGCCACGGUAAGACAUGUCAAUUACUUGCAAUUUUAUCAGAAUCAAGUGCUGCUGGGGGAGGAGGAUUCAGCAAUCAGCGUAGUUCUGUCCAACCUCGUUGGAUCAUUAAUAAACCUUAAAUUAGACAGCAGUGAGAAAACACCAGUAUUUGUGCAUACAAUUAUUACCUUCCAGCAUGAUGAAUUUUUAUCAUAAAGAUCAUUCUGUUAGCAGCUUUCAACAAAAUCGUCUUUCAGAAUUGUUUUGCUCAAAACAGGUUUUCCAUAAGCUUUACAUAACACUCUAAUAGAUAAGCAGCACGAAACUGCAAAUAAACUUGAAAAAUAUGACGAGGUACUACCUCCAGCCCAAAAUUAAGGCAUUCAAACUUCAAAAAUGUUUUCAUUAUACAUUAAUCAUUUUGAUUGUCACAUGCAAUCAAGGUUCUAAAUAGCCCACUAUAGAUUUUCUAGGGUCUAUCACUACGAUAUUGUUAAUUGUUCCGCUAUCACUGCUAAAGAUGCUCUAGGUCUACUAUGUAAGACAUAAUCUGCAGCUAAACCUUUCUUGUUCUGUUAAUGAUCAUAGGCAGGCAAUAGGCUAGCCCUUGAUCACAUAGGAGUAUGGCAAUAGGCCACUCUAGUACAGUAGUUGGUAGAACCAUACAUCAGCCAUACUUGGUAGGAGGAUGAUGUAUGCAGUGUACUAGGAGUAGAUGGGGCUGUACCCAGCCAUGCCUUGUGUACCUUAUAGUUGGUACAAGGCUUGUAUAUAUAUACCAUGUAUGCAAUGAAGCAAAGGCAGUUCAAGUGCCACUUAUUUCCUGGGUUCAGGUUUCAGCCAAGACUGAAACCGUGUGUGUGAGUGUGUGCCUGAGCUCGGCUCAUCUUCUACCUUGGGUUAGGGGAGAGGAAGAGGGAAGGUGAGCAGGGUCUGCUUACCUGGUGCCUGUGUGCAGGUGCUAACAAUUGGUAUCAAAGCCGUACAAGCCGUGUGCUAGGUCCAUCGACCGGCGAUGGCGGACGGUGCGGCUCGGAACGGUGGAGGGGAGGGCUCAGAGCGUCAGCUCCAGCCGGCGCCACCGCAGGUGGAGGUGCGCGUGGUGAAGGAGUUCGGCGGCAGCAGCUCCUGGCCCAUGCUCACCCGCACCAACUACGGUGAGUGGGCGACACAGAUGAAGUGGAAGCUGCGCGCGCGGAAGUGGUGGCGGGCGAUUGAGGAAGAUGAUCGCACCGAGGACGCCCAGGUGGGAGUCAUGGAGGCGCUCAUGGCCUCGACGCCGGCGGAGUACCACGAGGCGCUGGGCGCCAAGGACACCGCGAAGCAGGCCUGGGAGAUGCUGGAGUCGCUGCGUGUCGGCUCGGACCGAGCCAAGCGGGCCAGGAUCCAGCAGCUCCGCAGGGAGCUCAACGACAUCAAGUUCAAGCCCGGAGAGUCGGUGGAAGAGUACACUCUCCGUCUUCAAUCUCUGGCCACGCAACUGGCCACCUACGGGAAGAAGGUGGACGACGAGGACCUCGUCACCAAGCUGCUGUGCACCGUCCCGGCCAAGUAUUCGCAGCUUGCCAUGUCCAUCGAGACGAUGUUGGACAUCUCCACAUUGUCUCUGGAGGACGUGGCUGGGCGGCUGCGAGUUGCAGAGAGCCGCAUCACGCCGGCACCGGAGAAGGAGAAGGCCAAGUUACUACUGACGGAAGAGGAGUGGACCGCGCGCAUGAAGGACAAGCGCCGGACCAGGGAAGGCUCCUCCAGCCGCGGCGGUGAUGGCGCCAAGGGGCGCGGGAAGCCGCCGGCGGACAAGAAGAAGAAGAAGAAGAACACCGACCCCAACGCCUGCAGGCGUUGCGGGAAGGUGGGGCACCGGGCACGAGAAUGCCCGGAGAAGAAGCCGGAGAAGAAGGAAGAGGCCCACCUAGCUCGGGACGACAGCGACGACGAGUGCGCUCUGUUGAUGGGGGAGUAUUGCGCGCUGCAGGAAGGCGAAGCAGGGAAGGCGGAGGCGGAGCAGGGGACUGCGCCGCAGGCCGUCGAGCUUGACGAGUCUCGCGCGCGCGUCCUCCUUGGAGCGGACGGUGAGGAGCUGGAGCAGAGAUGGUACCUCGACUCAGGUGCGAGCAACCACAUGACAGGGAGCCGCACCGCCUUCUCCAACCUCGACGAGUCAGCCACCGGAAGCGUGAAGUUCGGGGAUGGCUCAAAGGUGCAGAUUCGCGGCCGCGGCACCGUCCUCUUCCGGUGCCGGAACGGCGAGCACCGUGCCUUGACGGAUGUCUACUUCAUCCCUCAGCUGCGCACCAGCAUCGUCAGCCUGGGACAGUUGGACGAACGCGGCAGCGAGGUCCUGAUUCGCGACGGGGUGUUGCGGAUCAGGGACAGGGAGCGGCGUCUUCUCGCCAAGGUAUCGCGCUCCCGUAACCGACUCUAUCUUCUGGAUUUGAAGGUAGAGCAGCCCGUGUGUUUGGCGGCGUCGUGCAAGGAGGAGCCCUGGCUGUGGCAUGGCCGGUUCGGCCACCUCAGUUUCGACGCGCUGGGCCGUCUCGGGAAGAUGGUGACAGGGCUGCCGGCGAUCCAGCAUGUCAGCGAGCUGUGCGACAGUUGCCUGGCAGGGAAGCAGAGGAGGCGGCCGUUCCCGAAGACCGCCAGGUACCGCGCGGCGGAUCCGCUUGAGCUGGUCCAUGGGGACCUUUGCGGGCCGAUCACGCCGGCGACGCACGGCGGGAGGAGGUACUUCCUCUUGCUCGUGGAUGACUGCAGCCGGUACAUGUGGCUGCAGCUCCUGACGAGCAAGAGCGACGCGGCGGAGGCGAUCAAGCACUUCAAGGCACGCACGGAGAUGGAGUCCGGGAAGAAGCUGAAGGUGCUUCGGACUGACCGCGGCGGCGAGUUCACGGCGGCUGAAUUCACCACGUACUGCGCCGAGGAAGGAGUAGGGCGUCAUCUCACAGCCCCCUACUCACCGCAGCAGAACGGUGUGGUAGAGCGCCGGAACCAGACCAUCAUCGGCAUGGCGCGAUCUAUGCUGAAGGCGAAGGACAUGCCGGCUGAGUUCUGGGGAGAAGCCGUGAGCACAGCAGUGUUCAUCCUGAACCGUUGCCCCACCAAGGCGUUGAAGGGGCAGACUCCAUUCGAGGCUUGGCACGGACGCAAGCCGAACGUCGCGUUCCUACGCACGUUUGGUUGUGUCGGCCAUGUGAAGACCACCAAGCCAGGCCUUACAAAGCUGGAAGACAGGAGCACCAAGGCGGUGUUCCUCGGCUACGAGGAGGGAUCAAAGGCCUAUCGGCUCUACGAUCCGGUCGGCGGAAAGGUGCUGGUAUCUCGAGAUGUGGUGUUCGACGAGGCGGCGGCAUGGAAAUGGGACCAGGCGGAGGAGCAGGGAGGUGGUGGGCUUGGCGACACUUUUGUCGUGGAACAAAUGACGAUCCACGGCAGGGAAGAAGGGUCAGGAGGGCCAGCAACCGGGGAAGCCGGUGCCACUGCAGCUCCAGAGGUGGAGGAGCCACCAAGUCCAGCGACAGCUGGAACGCCAGUCCACUCCCCGGCGGCUGGGGUGGGAUCCCCUGCCUCGCCAGGGCCGGCAACGCCAGCGGCCGGAGACGUCGAAUUCGCCACACCACCAAGUGACUACACCGAGUUCGUGGAUGCUUACCACGACGGCGAGGAGAUCCGUUUUCGCCGAAUCGAGGGCAUCAUCGGGGAAGCAGAGGUGCCUGGGGUCGCAGCACGGCUGCUCGACGACGACCCUGAGCUUCUGCUGAUGAGCGCAGAAGAACCCUCAUCCUUUGCCGUGGCGGAACGCGACGCAAAUUGGCGGCGUGCCAUGCUGGAGGAGCUGCGGUCCAUCGAAGACAACCACACCUGGGAGCUGGUUGAUCCGCCGGCGGGAUGCCGGCCGAUUGGCCUCAAGUGGGUGUACAAGGUCAAGAAGGACGAAUACGGCGCGAUCGUCAAGCACAAGGCGCGGCUGGUGGCCCGUGGCUUUGUGCAGCGCGAAGGCAUCGACUUCGAGGAGGUGUUUGCGCCGGUGGCGCGCAUGGAGUCGGUGAGAUUGCUGCUGGCACUCGCAGCAGCCAAGGAUUGGGGCAUCCAUCACCUCGACGUCAAGUCGGCCUUCCUGAACGGCGAGCUGGCGGAAGAGGUUUACGUCAAGCAGGCGCCAGGCUUUCAGGUGAAGGGGGAAGAGCGCAAGGUGCUUCGGCUGCGGAAGGCGCUGUAUGGUCUGCGGCAGGCCCCGCGGGCAUGGAAUGCCAAACUCGACGCCACCAUGGCGGAGCUCGGCUUCGCACGGUGCGCCACGGAGCAUGCCCUGUACACACGACGACGGGGGAAGGAGGAGCUCAUCGUCGGUGUGUAUGUGGACGAUCUAAUCGUCACUGGCGCGCGGGAGGAAGACAUCGCCAAAUUCAAAGCGGAAAUGGCGACCCGAUUCAAGAUGAGCGAUCUGGGCGCGCUCUCGUACUACCUCGGCAUCGAGGUGAAGCAGGAGAAGGACACGGUCAGGCUGGGGCAGCGCGCCUACGCGCUGAAGCUGCUGGAGCGGGCUGGAAUGGGCGACUGCAGGGCUGCAGCAACACCGAUGGAGGAGCGGAUCAAGCUCUCCAAACAAAGUGUGGCGAAGAAGGUUGAUGCCACACGAUACCGAAGCAUCGUUGGUGGGCUGCGCUGGCUCACUCACACCCGGCCGGACAUCGCGUUCGCGGUCGGGUAUGUGAGCAGAUUCAUGGAGGAUCCAAGGGAGGACCACUGGGCGGCGGUCAAGCGACUGCUGCGGUACAUCCAGGGGUCUUUGGACCUCGGUGUCGUCUUCCCCAAGCACGGCGAUCUUCGGCUGAAGGUGUUCAGCGAAGCGCCGCCCAGGGCAAAGGGCGGUGAGCCAGGACUCACCGUGUUCAGUGAUGCAGACAUGGCGGGUGAUGUGGAUGGGCGGAAAAGCACCUCCGGGGUGUUCGUCUUCCUAGGAGCAGCGCCGGUAGCCUGGCAAUCACUGAAGCAGAAGACAGUGGCACUGUCAACCUGCGAGGCAGAAUAUGUGGCUGCUGCUACGGCGGCAUGUCAGGCGGUCUGGUUGCGGCGGCUGCUGAAGGAGCUCACUGGGAAGGAGUCUCAGCCGCCGGCUUUGCUGGUGGACAAUCAGCCGGCCAUUGCUCUUGCCAAGAACCCGGUGCUCCAUGACCGGAGCAAACACAUCGACGUGAAGUUCCAUUUCCUCAGGGAUUGCGUUGAUGGAGGACAGAUCACCAUCGAGUUUGUCGACACCGGCAGGCAACUCGCUGACAUUCUCACCAAGUCCCUCGGACGCCUCAGGUUUGUUGAGCUGAGGAAGAUGAUUGGCAUGGAUGAGGUCAAGGCUUAGCAGCAGGAUUAGGGGAAGAACUGUAAGACAUAAUCUGCAGCUAAACCUUUCUUGUUCUGUUAAUGAUCAUAGGCAGGCAAUAGGCUAGCCCUUGAUCACAUAGGAGUAUGGCAAUAGGCCACUCUAGUACAGUAGUUGGUAGAACCAUACAUCAGCCAUACUUGGUAGGAGGAUGAUGUAUGCAGUGUACUAGGAGUAGAUGGGGCUGUACCCAGCCAUGCCUUGUGUACCUUAUAGUUGGUACAAGGCUUGUAUAUAUAUACCAUGUAUGCAAUGAAGCAAAGGCAGUUCAAGUGCCACUUAUUUCCUGGGUUCAGGUUUCAGCCAAGACUGAAACCGUGUGUGUGAGUGUGUGCCUGAGCUCGGCUCAUCUUCUACCUUGGGUUAGGGGAGAGGAAGAGGGAAGGUGAGCAGGGUCUGCUUACCUGGUGCCUGUGUGCAGGUGCUAACAUACUAAACACCACUAUUUGUUUUAGCCAUGAAAUAUCUUUGGCAGCAUUAAUCCUGGUCGAGGCAGAAAUUCAUACCUUAGUCUAAAAGACUAUAAUAUGUGCCUCUCCAUUAGGUUAUUUACAUGAUACUGAUUUAAUAAAUCAUUGAACAACUGAUCCUUAAAUACUGAAUGAAUAUGAUGUUAGUCACAACCGUAAGUAUGUUAAUUGAUAUGGUCAAUGUUAAGUAAUAAAUGUGGAGGCAUGCUCUCCUAGAGCCUGUACAUGUAUUUAAUUAUUUAUGUUCAUAUAAUUUUGCUUUGCUAAAUGUUUCCGUGCAUAAUUGUAAUUAAUUAAAAAUUUCAUGUUUUCUAUAAAAUCGCUAAAUGAAAUAGAUUUCGCUAUAUUCUGCUAUAGCUUUUGAAGGAGCCCACCGCUAAAUAUCUUAGCCCACGAUUUAAAACAUUGCAUUCAAUCAAUAUAGAUAUGGUUAAUUACAUUCACAUUCAAAAUAUAUUGAUUUCACUGUAAUUUAAGAAUUUUUGGCAAUGCUACUUGAAGAAAUAUAGUCAGAGGUGUGACAAUAUCCUAAAUGACCAAGUAAAUAGGAAGAGAGUUGUUAUAAAAGUAGCUCAUUAGGAGAUAGCUAGGCAAAGUCGGAUUGGAGGGAGACUAGAGUAUUGGGGGAUCUGGGAUUAAUUCUUGUUCAUUGCUUUCUUUCCUUGAUACAUCUCCCUUUAUGUAGAGAGGAUUAUUGGUCCCCUAGGAAGGCUCAAUCAAAUCCUAACAAAUCAUAUCCAGUCCUGUUUCUAAUUGACCAAAAUCUAAUCAUAUCUCCAAUUGAUCCAAUCCCUCUAAUUAAUAUUAUGGGCCCCUGGCCCCCUAGCUGAUGCCCCAUAACAAGGUUAUCAUGCAUGAAAAGGAAUUAUCAAAAUUGGUUUCACUAUUCCAUACCUUCAGAAAUUCAGCAACUUUAGCAGCCCACUGUUGUUGUUCAAAAGAACUUGAAUUUCCAUUCCAUAAAAACAUCGAGUUUUUAGUUUGCAAAACAAAACAAUCCGUGGAACUCAAGGAUGUUGGGACCUAGAAAGUCAAAUAACAAUUAGUUCAAGGGAGCAAAAGGUUGGACUCUUUUAAGUUAUUUAAAGUGCAGGCCAUAAUGAGAACAUAGUGAUUCCAUCCAGCAUUUGUUCCAUACUUCAUUUCCCCAUAGCUUAGGAUUUUGAGCAAACCCAUAGAUGCAUAAGACUUGAUAUGCUAUAAGAGCAAAAGUUCUUGAGCUCGAGACUUAGUAAAAUCAACCUAACUUAUAAAAUUGCUAUGGCCCAUUUUUAAUAUGCGCCAUAGGUAAUGGAUGAUAGGCAUGACAGAUAUUGCUUAGGUAUUAUUGCCUACUUUUUCUCAUUAACUUAAGAUGUUCAUGAUGCUUAUGUGAAUGGAAGUCAAUAUAUUUCUAAGAACAGGUAGAGGUAAGAAAUACCGCAUCAACUUGAAGUGUUUUAUUGUUAUGAACUGCUGUUCCAGAAAUUCGAAUGAGAGCAACGCCAUCAGCACAAUAUGUUUCAUCUUUCAGACCCUUCUCUUCUACAAAUUUCUUAUAACCAGAACUAGUACCACCCUGCAUGAUUUGACAAAUACAUUCUGGUAAUUUCUGGAGUAAUGUUACAAAACAUUUUUCAUUUCUAUCGAAUGCUCCAAUAUGAGUUCUUUGUAGACCAGCACACAUUUAUCAUUAACUCACUAUACAUGACAUAAUCACAGUGAGCAUCAUACCUUAAGAAUAACCAUUGGUUGGAAAAGAGCAACAAAUUGUGGUGGCUCUUUUCCUUGAUAAAUACGACCCUACAAUAACACAAAUAAAAUACAGAACUCAUCCAUAGGAAAUAUUUGAUGCAUAAUAAAAAAAAUUCAAAAUAUGAAUACAGUACCAGGACAGGUCUUCCUUUCAAAGAAUUCCAAGUUGUAUUAGCUAUUUGAAAAACCGCCUCUUGAUCUUCCUAUGUAAAAUAAACAAAGAGUAACUUCAUAGAUAUAUCACAGCACAGUGCAUGGGCACUGAGUCCACCAUGAACCCUUGUAUAUGUUAAGUACAUCAAGGCUCAUAUAGUCAUAUAUUAAUUAUAGGACACACAAAUGUGUAAGGACCAUCAUUAUUUUAAACAAACGUGUGCAAUAAUAGCUUCUAUUUUGAUGUGAGAAGAAUUCAUGACAAACAGCUUUACAGAUAAGCUUAAUAAGAAGGUUUCAGUGUCACAAUUUGACCAUGACAAGCAAAAUAAGAAAUAUGCAUUCCAAUAAUGGGGGUCCAUGGAAGAUGCAAAGCAAGAAAGUUCAGUGCACUACAUCUUAUAAGCAUGUACAUAUUUAAAUGACAAUUACCUGUACACUAUUUUUCCCAAUCCAAUAAGUUAGAUAGAACUCUUCUUUUUUGUCAGCAGAAUGAUAAGUGUAGAGAACAACAUAACAGUCUCCACUGUAGAAUUUUCCAAGUUCUUCCUUUGGAAGAGCAGUCUUCACACUGCCAUUAACACACCAAACCUGAAAUAUGCACAGCUUGCUUGUGAUUUCAUUUCUACACUGCAUUCACUAUUGUACUUGGUAGGAAAAUGUGAAUAAGUUCAGCGAAACCUCAAGCUUUCCACCGCCAUCUAGCAAAGGAGGAACUUCGUCAUUUACUGGUGCACUAGUUUUUGUGAUUCCUUUGACAUCGACACCUUUCUGCUUCAACAUUGCUGAUAAAACAUAUAGAUGUUAACAGUGAAUGACAAAAGGUCAUUUGUUAAAAUACCAAUAAAUAAGUAUUGUACCUGUAACUUUCACUCGGCCUUCCUCUGUGCUGGCACUCCCUGCUGUGGUACUUACUGGCCAUGACUCAAACUUAGACUUAAAUGUAUGAUUCUCAUAACCUUGAAUAACUUGAGUUAUUCUUGCUGUCUUUGGUCUAUUUUCUUUAAUAAUGAAUUUCUACAGGAGGUAAAUUUUAGAUAGGAUAUAUUUUGAACAAGGCAACAAACAAUAAAGUUGGGCUGUAGUUUUACCUCAACUGCCGCACUGGCAGCUUUCCUCUCCUCUACCUGUGUUACCCGACCAACCCACACAAAUAGCUCAGCCCCACAGUCAAGUAAAAAGCAUUUGGUGUUCUCCAGAACUGAUUUUGUAAGUGCAGUGUCUUCUAACUUCAGUUGACCGUUAGUGAUACUGCAAACAUAACAAUUAACAGCAUACAAUAAAACUACUCGAUUAUUAAAAAAUAAAGAAGAGCAGCUGAAGAUUAGUGAGGUGAACAAUAUAGCACACAUACACAGGCCAGUCACACCUGAAGAUAAAGUAAUAGGCUUUGUGAACCAAGCAGAGUCUCGAAGUAUGCUGCGCAAUGGUAAAGUUCUACGACCUAUAAGCACUCUCAAACCAACUAACUAAUACGUACUGAAUUGCCGAAAAGAAUUCAUUUGUAAUCAGGAAAGGAACUUCUGUAGAAGUGAGCUGUGAAUUCAGCAGAACAUAUUGGAUUGCUAAUUUUGAUUCUAGCAUUAAAAAAUGUGUUUAUCAGAAAGUUGCAAGUGGUGACUGUCACCCAUGCAUAACUUUUAAAAAAAUCAGAAAAAUAUAAAUGUGUGAAUGCUUGAAUAGGUAUGGUGAGCCCACGUAAAAACCAGGCCACUCAUAGGUGUUAAGAACAAGUGUCGAUAAUUAAAAUCAGAAGAUCAAAUAUAACUAACUGUACACUCAUAAAAAGGACAUACCUGAAAAGCUUUGGUGCUGUAGUUUCAAGAACAACGUCAUCAUCACUUAUUGUUUUUUUCCCUAUUGGCGCAAAACCUCCAAAAAGGACCCAGAAUUCUCCCGAAUCUGAUUCUGCUUGCAGUUUCCCAUCAUCUAUUAUUAAGGCAAAAAAAAAGAUAUAAGUGUGUGUGAACUUGCUGACUUUUUUACAUGUAUGUAUGAAAUGAAAUUUGUAUCAUUCUCAUCUCACCAACAAUUGCAACAGCACACACUCCAUCAUGGUAUUUCUCCUUUAAAUGUUGGAUCACUUCCAACGCCUUGGCUCUUUCUUGAAUGUUGGAGUUUGCGCCGUUGAAUUGGUAUAUUUUAUUUUCAGUAUCCAAGAUAAAGACAUCAUCAUGGUUCAAUGAUGAACGAGCAAAGGGAACCUGAGUAAAGAAGUCAUCAUUAGGAUAUUGACUUAAAUAGUUCAUGAAACAUAUACUGUAGGAAGCAAGGAGGUGGAACACCAAUUAAUGCACCUCUUUAACUCUGAUAGCUCUCUUCCCUUUGCAAAUAUAUAGCCGUACUUCAAACUUGUCCACCUCUGGCUUUUUAAACCCAGAAGCAAAACCACCCUCCAUGGGUAUGAUGCAGGGUUUAAAAUAGGAAAGGAAUUUAUCAGACUCGUAGCACUGUGGUUCCCUGUGCUGUACCGCACGACCCCCAAGCAUGCUGUCAAGUUCAACCGUCUUAAUCGCGGCAGUUCCAGCUUCAUCCUGCGUAAAAACAACAGCAAUUUCGAGAAGUGGGCAUAUGAAAUGUCAUUUGUAGCAUAGAGAAAUCUAAGGUGGUGGUACAGAAAUUAAAAUCUACCUGGCUAGAAUCUUUCCCGAUCCAGAAAUGGAUGUCAAAGAUAUAAGCACCUCCUUUACAGGUGGUCUAAAAAAAGGGGGCAGAUGCAUUACUAAAAAUACAAUUUCUGUAGGGAAAUAGAAUGGUGCCUCUGGAAAAAGGAAGGGUUAAAAGCAUUUACCUGCAGAACUAUAUACGAAUCUCCACAGUAGAAUUUGCCAUAAUCUGAUUUUGGCAAAGCGACUGGCUUGAAAUCCUCGAUCCUCCAUAUUUCUGUUCCUCUGUGUUUAAGUUAAGGGGCGCAUACCCAACAUAAAGAGAAUACAGAAGCAUUGCGUUGAAUGAAAAAUAGCUAAAACACGCCCAGUAAGGAUACGGUUUAUGGCCAGCUCCUUGAAAUGCGGGCUCGAGCACCACUUUUGCAUUCGACAUUGUGCAGGGAUGGAUAUAUGUUACUUGGACACUACAGAGAGGCUCCCACCACCCGAUGGACAACAGUCAAUAGAACACUAGAAACUCAUGUGCUGCAUGCAAGAGUGCACCUAGAAGAAAAUGUAAACCAUUAGAGACAAGAGAAACCACCAGAAGUUUCAGAUAUAAACAGAAUGCAUACAAAGUAAUGUUUGCAAAGAAUAGAUUUGCUCUCAGUUUUACGUUAUCACGGAAACCAAAACGCAUGCCUGGCUGGUCUUUUUUUCCCUAUAUUUUUAUCACACAUCACAUCCAAAUUCAUCCCCGAUCGAGCACUCACGGAUGGAGCGCUAACGAUGGAUCGAUCGAUCCAACAAGCGAACACCGACCGCAGACAGACAGCUUAACUGAAGGCCGAUCUGAUCGCAUCGCAGUCACGUACGCAUCCACGGCAAGGGCAGAUCAAUUCAACCCGCGGGAUCGUUAGAUCCUGCUCCCUUCAUCUUUAAUUAUAAGUCAUUUUAAAAAAUUUGGAGACUCAAAAUAUUUUAAGUUUAACUAAAAUUAUAAAAAAAAUUAUAAAAUUUAUAAGAUUAAGUAAAUAUACUAUGAAAAAUAUAGUUAGAAUAUUUAAUUUGUAUCAUGUUAUCAUAUAAAUUUGGUUUACUCUUUGAGAUUUUUAGAAUAACUGGGAUCGAAACAAGCCUUGUUUAGUUCCCAAAAAAUUUUGCAAAAUUUUUCAGAUUCCCCAUCACAUCGAAUCUUUAAACUCAUGCAUGGAGUAUUAAAUAUAAACAAAAAUAAAAACUAAUUAGACAGUUUGAUCGAAAUUGACGAGACGAAUUUUUUGAGUCUAAUUAAUUCAUAAAUACAAACGAAAGUGCUACAGUGUCGAUUUUGCAAAAAUUUUUGGAACUAAACAAGGCCCAAAGGGAGGGAGGAAAGGGAAAAAGGAAAUGCAGAACCGUGGGAUCAUAUGAGGAGGCCGUCGAUCGAGCGGGUACCUGCUAGACGUGUAACGCCGGUCGCCGAUCGAUCGAUGGAAGCGGAGCGGAGCGGGGGGUGUAGCCUCGAGCCAGAGAGGGGAGGAAGGUGGCAGGCGAGCGGCGACGGGAAGGGGACGAGACGACCGAUCGAUCCCAGUGUGUCUCCGAGGCGACGUAGGAAUGGGGCGGAUUCGAUGGGGGUGGUGGAAGUGGAAUGGAUGGAUGUUACUACUACGCGACGCCGCGGCUUUUGCGGUUGCCUGAUUUUAGAAAUGGACCCCCUAUUUAUACGGGCGCGCGCGCGGCGAUCUGCCUGCGCCCUAUACGUGCGGUGCGGCAGCGACGGGGGAGGGACGGAUGGUCGGUGGCUGCUAGGAAAAGGUGCGAUCGAGCUCGGAGUACGAGAGGGGACAACGGAGAACGGACGUCGUUGCUACUGGCUGCCUGCGGCGUUCGUCACCACGAGUGUCCGGCCAGGGCCGCGCUACUGCUACUGCUAGUGGUAGUGGCAUUAGCAUUGCUCGCCCGGCCAGCAGAGGUACGGUACGGCCGCCGGUGACUGACAAGAUUCGGUCUCGUAGCGAGCGCCGUAUGGUAGGUACGGUGGUGAGCUAGGCCGGCCAUCAGCAUCAGGGUCCAGCUGCGGUCCGCAUGAUGCGGCCGAUAAUUGCGAGCUUUCGGUCGAGAUGCAUGGGAAGCUGCAGUGAUCGUGGAUGUGAUGCACACAGCGCACACGCACUCAUCAUUUCGACAGCUACGGUAACAACGUACGGGUUCACGCACGGGGGGCGCCACCUGACCUGACGCUUCCCCACCACCGCCCAUCAGCCCAUCCAACUAGACUGUGAACAUGGGCUGUCCUACCCGGCCAGGCCCAAUCAGUGUACCAGGUAGGCUUGGGCUCUAAAUCAUAAACAAAUAGAAAAAAGAUUUGAUGUGACAGGAAAUUUUGAAAAGUUUUUUAUUUUUGGGGUGAACUAAGGUCUUAUUUAGAUGCGAAAAUAUUUUCGAUUUCGCUACUAUAGCACUUUCGUUUGUUUGUGGCAAAUAUUGUCUAAUCAUGGACUAACUAGGAUCAAAAGAUUCAUCUCGCGAUUUACAGUUAAACUGUGUAAUUAGUUUUUAUUUUUGUCUAUAUUUAAUGCUUCAUGCAUGUAUCGAAAGAUUAGGUGUGACAGAGAAUUUUAAAAACUUUUUAGUUUUUGAGGUGAACUAAAUAAGGCCUAAACAAGACCUAAUUUUGUAUAAUAAAAUGUAAAAUGAACCUCUUUAUUGUGUUCCUCUCCUCGGAAUAGUAAAAGAAUAGACAUAUAUGGAGUGUUUCAUUUGAAGUCCAGACGAAGGAGUUACGCUUUUCAAAAAAAGUUGCAACCGAAGUUGUGAUCCUUAUCGGACGUUACGAGAGUCUGAAGUUUCGACACACGUUAGAACUUUCGACGAACGUCAAGAAACCUGGGGAAAAAAACCCUGCUCAGGUGUCUAGGGUCGGAAAAACCUAAUAAAAAACUUUGUUUGGAAAUGAUCUUUUAGUGCUGCAUAUUUGAUUUUUCCCAAACUAAAUUAGGACUCGACAAAGGAAAACUAUCUAAUGCACAGAGCUAGCACGAUCGUUUCAGCAUUUCAACUGCUCCAAGCCUCCAACUCAUAAACACACUUCCAAGUACGAAACAGACUGAGGAAAUUCCAAAAUCGGUUGUUAAUUAACUCCUUGGCCGGCCUCAUCCAAAUGGAAGAAGGUUUAAAGUCCUGAUGCCCCCGAUAAUCUCAUCAACUGCGUUCGGCAGGCGGUCCAAAUCGCCGCCGCUCCGCUCCAUCAUCCACGCGCGAAUUAUCUAUCCCUUCCCGAUUAAUUAAUCUCCGUGCCGCGAUCGUCACGGAUUCCUUCUUCCUCGUUCCAAUUCCAACUGAGCCGGUCAGCAGCUGCAGCUGCAGAGUGAGAGUGAUCGGCUACUUGUACGCGUGCGCGAGCAUCACCGUGCAGGUAGCAACCGGGGUGGACUGAGCGCGGUCCCCAACACGGCAACACGGGCCACAAUUCAGCCAUGAGGCUCUCGCCGCCGCGGCGCCUCCUCCCCCUGGCCCCCUUCCUCCUGCUGCUGCUCACGCUCCUCUCGCCGCCUCGAGCGGCGGCAGCAGCGGGCGGCGGCCCAUCCGCGUGGGUGGCGCUCCGCGGGGCGGCGGGCAGCCGGAAGGCGUCUCCGGCGGAGCAGGAAGCGGCGGCCGCGGGGCUGCUCCGCCGGCUGCUCCCUUCCCACGCGGGCAGCUUCAGCUUCCAGAUCGACUCCAAGGUUUGAGCAUCCUAGUGCGGCUACUUCCUGAGUUCCUGGUUCCUCCCAGUCCCCGGUCCCCCGCUUGUUUCGGGGCAGCAUUGGUUGACUUCCCUGUGCCCGUUUUUCUGUGCUCGCUCCAGGGCGCCGUCUGCGGUCAAUCAAGCUGCUUCAGGAUAAGCAACGUCGUUGACGGCUCGGGCAAAGGUGGAGCGGAGAUUCUGUAUGUUCCUCUUUUUCCCUCGUAUACUUGCCAUGAUGCAUGAUGCCGUCAACUUUGGCCGCGUAGAUGAUCCAUCUGAGGUCUGAGGCUGUGCUUUGUGGCUUGCCUCACCACUGUAUGGUGGGUGCCCAGCUGGCAUCGAUUCAUGAGGUUUUGAUUUGCAUAAUAGACAAACAUGGUGAUGAAGUCGCUCAUUCCUGUUCUAAAUUUUGCUCUUUGUAUGAUCGCUCCUCAUUAAGUUGGCGCAUUAGUUUGCUUAUAUAAAAUCCAAAAAAUAGUCCAGCGGCUUGGGUUCCUUAAUUGAGCAUUGAGAAUGCAUGUAAUGCAAGAACUGCAAAAAUUGUACAUUUGUUAUGACUACAUCGUGAAGGUGAAUGCAAUCACCUCUUCAUGUUUAUGCUAUACAGGAUCCAGGGAACCACAGGUGUUGAGCUUGCGUCUGGCCUACAUUGGUAUUUGAAAUACUGGUGUGGUGCACAUAUCUCCUGGGACAGGACUGGGGGUGCCCAGCUGGCAUCGAUCCCUUCUCCUGGAUCUCUGCCACGGGUGCAGGGCAAGGGAGUCAAGAUUGAGCGUCCUGUUCUGUGGAAUUACUAUCAGAAUGUCGUCACUUCUAGCUGUGAGUCCUUUCUUGCCUCUAGUGCUUCUAUUGCAAAUGAAGAACUGAUGUUUCAGCAUUUGUUCUCCUACACCCUAAUCCUACAGAUUUCAUCUUAUCAUUUUUGUCUCUGUUGACCGGACCCUUCCAUACUUCUAACAUUUAUCCAACUGGAUUUAUUUAUAAUUUCUAAUUUCAAAAGAAGUGACUCUGAAGCUUCCCACUAUUUAAGUGGAUUCCAACAUUUUUUUCUCUGACAAAAUUCAUGUAGCGUUCUAUAGACUCCUAUGUGUGGUGGGACUGGAAAAGAUGGGAGAAAGAAAUUGACUGGAUGGCACUUCAAGGAAUUAACUUGCCUUUAGCAUUUACUGGACAGGAAUCUAUCUGGCAGAAGGUUUUUAAGGUAGUGUGACAGACACAUCUACUGCAUAUUCCUGUUCUUUGUUUUUUCUUGUCCCUACGUCUUUUUGAUCUGCCUUGUUUAGUUUCCAAAAAAAUUUGCAAAAUUUUUCAGAUUCCCCGUCACAUCGAAUCUUGCGGCACAUGCAUGGAGCAUUAAAUAUAGAUUAAAAAAAUAACUAAUUGCACAGUUUGUCUAUAAUUUGCGAGACAAAUCUUUUGAGCUUAGUUAGUCUAUGAUUGGACAAUAUUUGUCAAAUACAAACGAAAAUGCUGCAGUGUCUAUUUUGCUACAUGUUUUGAGUUUCUUUUCAACCUCCUGUUGCUAUGGGGGCCUUGUUAAUUAUUGCAUUUUAUUUCAGAGUUUUAAUGUUACCGACAGAGAUUUAGAUGAUUUUUUCGGUGGACCAGCUUUCCUGGCUUGGGCUAGAAUGGGGAACUUGCAUGGGUAAGUAAACAGUUCUUCUACGUGUUCAGGAAAAAAAACUAUAAAAUAAAUGAGGCUACAUUCUCUGAUAUAGGUGUUUGUUUAUUAGUUCAGAUAGCAUGAUGAAUAGCUUAUUCUUAAAAAAUAAGGAGCCAUAUUCUUGUUUAGAAGUGUCGAAGAUGUAUCUUUAGUAGGUGUUCACGGUUUGGGAUUUUGGUUCAGUGGAACUCUGCAUUUUGCUGCAUUGAAUACAGAUUAUUAAAAGUUUCUCUUCCUGCUUGUUUCUCUCUGCAUAUCAUUGUUCCCAUUUCAUGUGACCAAAGAUUCAUUCUAACUUAAUUAUAGCAUUGACCACAACAUUGCAGUUGUUCUAUACUUAACUAGUUAACUUUGUAUGAUAUUAAGACUUUUCGGAGAUGAUCAUUUGUACAUAUCUGACAUAUAAAAAGUAACGCAUAUAUAAUUCUUCAAUUUCUUUAGCUGGGGUGGACCACUGUCACAAAACUGGUUGGAUCAACAAUUGGCAUUGCAGAAGAAAGUACUAUCCCGGAUGAUUGAGCUUGGGAUGGUCCCUGGUACGUUUGUGUUUUAUUGUCCAAAAUUACUAUUCUUCAACCUUUAAGAUAUGCCAUUGCAUUUAUACCACCUUUCCAUCCUUUUUUGGCAAUGUAUUUCUUAUAUGAAGUCAAAAGAUCAAUGGACUUUUUACUAGCAAUAUUCUAUUACUACAGUGGGUUAAAUGCUGUUUCAAGUUAUACUUAUGACGCACUACUACUUUACAGUUCUUCCAUCGUUCUCAGGAAAUGUUCCAGCUGUUUUCGCAAAAUUAUUUCCAUCAGCCAACAUUACCCUGCUUGGUGAUUGGUAACAUACUUUCUUAUAUCGUUUGUACCAAUAUUUUCUGAAAAUUUAUGCUGGCUUAGGCAGUAGUUAUGGUGACCAAGAAGUCACCAAGUCCAAAUUUACUGGUGAUCAUAUUCAUAAUGCCUCUUGACAAGUAACUUCUGUAAAUUACUUGGACUGUAGGACAUCUGGAAGAGUGUAAUGGACAAGAAGGAUUCAGACUCACUUAGUUACAAACAUUUUAUAGUUGGGUUAACACUAUAUAGGGCUACUGGCACGGUUGCCAGCCAACAACUUAUUUGUAAGGGACAAUAUAUGCAUACAUGAUCUUAUAGCUUUACACGAUAUGUUUUUAUAUCCUCAGUUUUCAAGAAAAAGAAACUGCAGUUUUGACUCAACUUCUUCGCACUAGACUGUAGAACUAGAAGUCUUAAGUCAAAAUUUGCUACAGGACACGUAACCUGAUGCCGAGCUGCCUGCGGACACAAAAAAGUGCUACAUGCUGACAGUCACUCUGUCAAUGCGAGAAUUUGCUAGAAGACACCGUGUCCAUUAAAAUAAUCAUUUCCAACCUAGAGGAGACGGUGUCUUCCAGCAAAUUAUCACAUUGCCAGAGUGACUGACAGCAUUUAUCACUUUUUUUUAUGUCUGCAGGCUGCUUGACAUCAGUCUAUGUGUCCUGUAGCAAAUUUUUGCCAAGUCUUAAACGUAUCAAGUCUGUGUACUGCCAGUGCUUAUGUGCCUUAUUUCAACAUGAAAGUAUCAGUUGAUUAGCAUUUCAUGUUUUCAGUUAUAAAACUUCUUACUGAAAAUAUCUUAUGUUGUUUUGAUUUUCUACGUGAUAUUUUAUACUUCAGGAAUACAGUUGAUGCUAAUCCUAAGUGGUGCUGCACUUAUCUUCUUGAUCCUUCUGAUUCAUUGUUUAUAGAUGUGGGGCAGGCUUUUAUCAGGCAACAGAUAAAAGGUAUAUACCUGCCAUUUUUGUGUGCAAGAUAUGAUCAUAGGAAACUUGAAUUUGUUCUGAAGUUUCUGGAUCAAAUAAAUCAAUUAAUAAGAAUGCACUUUUGAUUUAUGUUUUUGUAUAAGGUUUCGUAUUCUUUCUUUUUUGAACUUUUCUGGAUGUUUGCAGAGUACGGCGAUGUAACCAACAUCUAUAACUGGUAAGGCCUACUAAUCUGCUUCUUUGAAAUGUUGCCUGAAUGCAUUCUGUGAUUGCUCUGUGUAUCCUUUGCAUGUUGGGUCACAACGCUUAGCUGUCAUAUGCAAGGAUCACAAUUGAUUGGUUCUGUUUCUAUAAGCCAUACCCUAGUUCAUCCUUGCCUAUAUAUGUGUAACCUUUCACCCUCCAUAAUCAAUCAAUCAAUUCCGUACCAUAUUCUUGCUUACAGAUACAUAUCGUCCUGUUUAAGGUAUUGAUAGUGGAUAGUUCAAAAUUCUUGAUUUAUUGGUCAUGCAUUAUGUCAUUCUGAUCAUGUCAUUGGCUAGUGGUUUAGCAUGCUUUUGAGCAUCCUGUGUAUAUUCUUGUGCUCGCUUGCUGUUUCUAGUUUCUACAUCAUGUACACAUUGCACAUUUUACAGUUUUGGUUGUUACUUUCAGUGACACGUUCAAUGAGAAUACCCCACCAACAGAUGAACCAGCAUAUAUUUCAUCACUUGGUUCUGCUAUCUAUGAAGCAAUGUCCCGAGGUAACAAGAAUGCAGUGUGGUUAAUGCAGGUGUGCUCACUCUUCUUUUACCUUUUAAAUGUAAAAACAUUCUGCAUUUAUCAUUUUCUGUUGUGAUAGCAACCAUAUAUCCUCUAGACGAUAGUAACUUGUCCAGUUAACAAGAUGGAGUGCAGAGUACAAUGUAAAGAAAUACACCAUACAAUCUAUUAUUUAUAGUGGUUCAUUCCAUGUUCUUUUUUUUAAAAAAAAAAGAAAGUUAUGUAUUAAAUCUUACUCUUUGGAUAGAGAAAAAUCUUGUGUUUUCUUUAUCAGACAUCAUUAGAUGAACACAUAAUUGGAAAUCUUUGAACUUUACUUUGUGCUUAUUGAUGCAGGGUUGGUUAUUCUACUCAGAUGCUGCAUUCUGGAAGGAGCCACAAAUGAAAGUAAGCUCAAGUCUUGUCUUCAAUGAGUUUCACUUUGAACAGCCAAAUAAAUGUGAUAACUCAUAGAAUGAAGGUUAAUGCAUAUGUUCUUUGUCCUUUUAACACCUAUUUACAAAUGGGUUAACCUGCCCAAUUUUCAGGCACUUCUUCACUCUGUUCCAAUUGGUAAGAUGAUAGUUCUCGAUUUAUUUGCUGAUGUCAAGCCCAUUUGGAAAAUGUCCUCUCAGUUCUACGGUGUACCUUACAUCUGGUAUGUCAUCUUUUAACAACCCCUCCCUCCCAUCUUGUAACUCCAAACCAUUAUUUUGUAUUCACAUUGUCAAUUUAAAAUAUGAAUAUAAUUCCUGAUUUUCAACCAUAUUUACUGAUUGAUUUACUCAAUCUAGGUGCAUGUUACACAACUUUGGUGGGAACAUUGAAAUGUAUGGCGUACUUGAUUCAAUUUCAUCUGGCCCCAUUGAUGCCCGUACAAGUUACAAUUCAACAAUGGUAAGUGCAAAUUUUGUCCUAUGGAGCAAACAUUUCAUUUUCAUGUGUGAGUUGAAAAUCUGUCAUCUGCUGUUUCAAUGUUGAAGUGAAUCAAUCCCUCCUUUCUUGCUGGAGUUCUGUGCUCCAGUGGUGGAGCUUUUUUUUUUUUGAAAACCACAGGAGAGCUGCGUUUCAUUGCAUUAUAGAGAAGAAAAAUAGGGUGGGUCCCCAACAAGAUCCUCACUCAUACGGGGACCAAAUAUGAGUGAGGCAAUUACACACACACCUUUACUGGGCUCAUAGAAAUCAGCUGAAGCUAGACCCUAACUAAGCAGCCCUAGUCACCCAACGCCAAACCAAGCUCAAGGAGCUUCUUUGCCCCAGCCAUGCACCAGAGACUAUGCUCAUUCUUUAGCUCACUCCAAAGCAUGCUCAGCGAAGGAGAAACCCCCUCAAAGACACAUGUGUUUCUAUGUUUCCAAAUAAUCCAGGCCCCUAAAAUAAUUAGAGAAUUCACUCCUCUCCUGUGUUCCUUGCUCACUCUGCUGAUCGUCUUGCGCCACCAUUCAGCAAAACUCCGCUCGUUUUGCCGGGGAGUUGAAUCAGCUAAGUUUAAUGGGGUGAGUAAUUUGCACCAUACUUGUCUUGCCAUCACACAAGAUGUUAGCAAAUGUUGUAUUGUCUCCUCUUCCUGAUCGCAUAGGGGGCAUUUAUCCGGAUGUGAAAGACCCCUCUUAGCAAGCCUAUCGGCUGUCCAACAUCUAUUACGGAUCGCCAGCCACAAGAACAUUUUGCAUUUGCUUGGAGCCCAAGACUUCCAUAGGCGGUGCCACGGCUCAAAAGUCGCUGCACCAUAGAAAAAAGCUUUAUAUGCAGAUUUGGAAGAGUAGCAGCCACUUGUAUCUAGCCUCCAUAUGUGGCGAUCCUCUUGGUCAGUCAGAGUGAUACUCAUGAGACAAUCACAAAGCUGUAGGAAUUCUCUCAUACCGAUCCAGGAUAGGCCGCCAUGAAUGUCUCGUGCCCAUUGCACGUUAGAGAGAGCUUCAGCCACAGUACGUCUUUUGCGAAUUCUUGGCGAGACACAAGCAAAAACAGUUGGUGCAAGAUUUUCAAUCGAGCACCCAUGCAGCCACCGAUCGGUCCAAAAGAGAGUAUUUUGUCCAUUCCCUAUCUCUGUCGUGACUGCAAUAGAGGACAAAGCUAUAGAAUUAGGAUGUGUUGGGAGUUCGAGAUCAGACCAUGGACGGUCAGCUUUAGUCUUUUUCAGCCACUGCCAUCUGACUUGCAAAGCCCAGGCCAUCACUUCUAAGUUAGGGAUGCCCAAUCCCCCAAGAUCCAACGGUCGCAUGACCUUCUCCCAAGCCACCAGACAGCAGCCUCCAUUUGCUUUUUCCUUUCCUUGCCACAGAAAUCCCCUUCUGAUCUUGUCCACUGCCUUGAUGAACCAUGACGGGAUGUUGAUAGCAAUUAGCAAAUGAAUAGGCAUGGCAGAGAGGACAAAUCGGACUAAUGUUGCACGUCUAGCCCUAUUCAUAAGGGCUGCCUUCCAGCAUGGAAGUUUGUCCGCAAUUUUUUCUAUCCAUGGCAUGAGAUCCCUCUUGCGAAGCUUCCUGUUUGAUAGUGGUAGGCCCAAAUACUUGCAAGGGAAUUCUGAAAUUGUACCCGGAAGAAUAUCUUGAAUUACUCCCAAAGACCCUUCUGUACAACUGAUGGGAAUGAUAUUGCUUUUCUGAAUAUUAGUUCGCAAUCCUGAAGCAUCUCCAAACACCUUGAGGAUAUCUCUGGUGAUCUGCAGCUCCCCUUCAAGUGGCUUAAUAAAUAAGGCAACAUCAUCAGCAUAUAGGGAAAGCCUUUGUCCUGUCACCCGUGGGGAUAAAGGUUGCAACAGCCCCUCAUUCGCUGCCUUCACAAACAGACUGUUAAGCACAUCCAUCACUAAAAUAAAGAGCAUCGGGGAUAAAGGGUCCCCUUGACGAAGGCCUCGUUGAUGUUGUAUGGGUUCUCCAGGUUCCCCGUUCAAUAAAAUUCGAGUUGAGGAUGAUGCCAGCAGAUUGGCCACCAAAUUGCGCCAAAUGCAUCCAAAGCCCAAGUGUUGUAGCACUUCUAAAACAGUGGUGGAGCUAAAGCCAGGCUAAAGGGGGCCAUGAGCCCAUGACCCCUCUUGAUUCUUUAAAUUUCUUAAGAAAACACCUUAUCCUAGGUAACAACAGAGCAUGGUUUACAUAGCUUGGCCUCCUGUACAUCUACCAUCAUGCUCCAUCGCUGCUGUGCUUGUUGUUCUUCUUGAUUGAUCGUUCCAUCUUUCAUGAUAUGCAUGUGUUUCAGAACUGAUAUAUUUUCAGUGCUGUAUCUAAUCUGACUAUUUAUGCAAUGUUUGACUCUUGCUCUUCUCUAGAUUGGUGUUGGCAUGUGCAUGGAGGGAAUAGAGCACAAUCCAGUUGUUUAUGAACUUAUGUCUGAAAUGGCAUUUCAUAAUAAGAAGGUUGAAGUUGAGGUAAAUAGUACAAAUGUAAACUUAGCCUUCGAAUUAUGAUUUACUGCUAUUCUUAUUUCUUCAUCUUGGAACUAUUACAGCUGUAUAGACUCUAUAGAGUAUGAGGUGCCAUUGUAGACAUAGUUUGCACUUUAUACAUAAUUAUAGGGUACAUUCUGUUUAUGCACCACUACAUAAAUUUUAUCAAUCUAGUCAAAAGAUAACUGCUUCUGAAAGUUCUUUCCCUUCAUGUGAUUUCAGUGAGAUCAGGAUUAAUGGAAGUUUUCUGUCUUGAGUUAAAUGUUGAACUGUGUGUCAAAGAAGGAUUGCCAAAAAUACCGUACUUUGUAAUUUGUGUAGUUUCUUGGUACAUAUGCUUUGUACGACCUUGUUUACAUGAGGUGAAUGAAGUACAAACUGUGCUACAGAUAGUAUUUGUCUCUUUCCUUCCGCAGCAGAUUUGCUAUGGCUAUUGUUUUAUAAUCGUCUAACAUCUUGACUGCAGGUUUUGCUUUGAUAGUCGAUUACCAUCUAACAUUUGUCCAUAACCUUCCAGGACUGGUUAAAAACAUACUCCUAUAGGAGAUAUGGUCGAGCGAAUGCUGAAAUAGAGAAAGCUUGGAGAUAUUUGUAUCAUACAAUAUACAAUUGCACCGAUGGAAUUGCGGUGUGAUUUCAAACGAGCUCCUCUGUUGCAACUAUCCAGAGCCUGUCCCGAGUAACAUAUCCUUAUAUUUUCGUUGCAGGAUCAUAAUAAAGACUACAUAGUUGAAUUUCCAGACAUAAGUCCCAGCUCAAUUAGUUCUCAGCUUUCUAAACGAAGGGGUAUGUCAAUUAUGAGAAACCAUAGGAGGUUUUUCUUAAGUGAGGUGUCUGGAAGCCUACCACAUCCGCACCUAUGGUAUUCUACGAAGGAGGCCAUCAAAGCCCUUGAACUAUUUCUUGAUGCAGGAAGCACAUUUUCAAAAAGUCUCACAUAUAGGUACAAUAUGCAACUUUCUUUUAAGUCUUGAGAUUGUCUGUUCUUAUUUUCAGCUAUUGCCAACUCUAUUCCUGUAGUUUACAGUUGUCAAUUGAUUUAAGUGCCAAAUCAGGGUACCAAAUGAACACUUUUUUCCUUUGUUUUCUGGUUUAAUGAGUAAAACUAAUUAUGCUGCUUGGGCAUGUUAUUGCUUUAACUGAUCCUUACUGCUGGGUGAUAACUUUUACCUCAGGUAUGACCUUGUCGACCUAACUAGGCAGUGCCUAUCCAAACUAGCAAAUGAAGUGUACCUUGAUGCGAUGAGUUCGUACCAAAAGAAAGAUUCAAAUGGCCUGAAUUCUCACACGAGGAAAUUUCUUGAGAUCAUCAUGGAUAUUGAUACACUACUAGCUGCUGAUGAUAACUUUCUGCUGGGCCCCUGGCUGGAAAGUGCAAAAAGCCUUGCUAUAACUGAAAAGGAACGCCAGCAGGUAUGUUACACAUGCAUUCUUCAUCUAAUAUCUGGAUCCUAUAUCAAUCCUGUUAUUGAGGACUGAAUUGAACCUUUUUACCAGUAUGAGUGGAACGCCAGAACACAGGUGACGAUGUGGUAUGACAACACAGAGACCGAGCAGAGUAAAUUGCAUGACUACGGUAAUGCCUAGUACAAUAGUUUGUUAGUUGAUAGCUACUAGCUGUAUGGUUCAGCUUUGUGUUACUAAUGUUCUUCUCCGUAAACACCAAAUUACCAGCCAAUAAGUUUUGGAGCGGGCUACUGAAGAGCUAUUACCUUCCAAGGGCGUCAAAAUACUUCGCCUACUUAACAAGGAGCCUGCAAGAGAACCAGAGCUUCCAGCUGGAGGAGUGGAGGAAGGAUUGGAUCUCAUAUUCCAACGAGUGGCAGUCCGGGAAGGAGGUGUAUGCCGUGAAGGCCACGGGUGAUGCUUUGGCCAUCGCCAGGUCACUGUACAGAAAAUACUUGAGUUCUUGAGCUAGUCGUCGCUGCCAGAGUGCCAGAGCCUUGGAAUAAUUGUUGCCGUGGGGUAAUUGUGCACGGAUGUUACAAAUGAUUGAUUGUGUAAUUGUGUUCUUCAGUAAGUUGCCUGUUAAAACAGAUGCCACGAAAGGCAGAUGCAUAUGUUAGCAAGUUGUAGGGUUGAUAUGUGAAAUAUUUGUCUUCCAUGAUCACGUGAUGUAGAGCGAAACCCUCAGCAUUGAUUUCUUGAGCUGUUGCUGCUGCGGUGCUGCCUCGGAGCUGAAGGCCAAGUAAAACAGUGUGCCUUUUGCAUUGCAGUUGGCAAAUUUUGAGACUUGCACUGCAGACUGCAGACUGCAGGCGUACUCCGCAGAGAGGUUUAGGAUGCAGAAACCGCUGAAAUAUGAACAUCGCUCACAAGGUUCUGGGACUCGGCUUUACUUUCUUUGAAACGUAUAGUUUUUUUUAAGGUCCCGUUUGGUCCUCUUGCUAAAUUUAGCCAACUAAAAUUAUUUUAGUUACUCUUGGAUGACUAAUAGAUCUAAAAUAUUUAAGCUCUUUUUUAGUCAGUGUUUUUAGAAUUUUAGCUGGUAAAGUGAUUAAAAUUUAGUUGGCUAAAAUUUAGCAAAGGGAACUAAAUAGACGCUUAAUGUAACUCAACUUUACUAGGGAAAAAAAGAUCAAAACUACUGUGAACUUUCUGCAAAUCAAGUAGCAAGAAUCACCAUGACUCAACAAUAAUACACAUCGCAGAUUCACGUACAGUUAAAGAUGAAUGAAGAAGCAACCUAAGAAGCAAAAAGUCUUGCUCUAUGAAUGGUAAAAACGAGCAGGAGAUCUGCCUCUUUUAAAUUGAGAACAUUAUUGAGCAAAAUAACAGCUGUCAACAGGAAUAUUUUGCUCAAAUUUGCUUCAAAUGCAGCAUACAAAUAAGAAAAAGAGAAACUUCCCUGAUGUAUUAAUGGAAGAAACGAGCGAGAAAUAUGCCCCUUCUAAUGUUGAGCAAAAAAAACAGCUGUAGGUAGGAUCAUUUUACUCAAAUUUCCUUCAAAUGCAGCACAGCAAAAAAAAACUUGUUGCAAAAAAAAAAAAGAGCCUGUCAGACAACCCAUGGGCCACCCCAGCUAGGCAGGACCCAACCAGGAACGAUCCUCUACAGCACCAGACCCAGCAUCAAGCUUAAUCCUGGCCGUUAAUCACGCUCUGGCCCACAGGUCAUGACUCAUCAACCAGGCUUAAGUGCUUGCCUCCUUAUUAGUCAAGGAUGCAGCGGUACGAUCCUAUAGAACAGAUCCUGUUCAAGUAAGGUCGUGCUGCAAGGCUCCAGAGCUGAGGUUUUAAGCUGGCUCUCACUCGCCUGAGCAAGCGAGGUGGUGCUAAUCGGUGGGACUGGGCGACUGGCCAGCAAUCCCACUCCCACCCAGCAUGUUGCGUACUGGGCCGCUCCAUUCUGGUAUAUGCUCCCCUAUGUGUGGGCUUCAGGUCGAGCCGGCCCAUCGAGGCUGCAUUAGCUUUACCUCUGUUGAUGAUGCUGAUUCCUCACCUAAGCUCAGCUGAUUCCUAGUAGGUGAUUAUAGUUGGCCCUCCACAGAGCUAAGCAUAAAAAUGUUACUACUAACCAUCACAAAUCGGUGUAAACACAACAGUAUGAAGUACGUCAUAAUGAGCUAAGCAGCAAUGGGCGAUGUUGUGCGAGUGCGUCGUCGUCUCUCAUCUAAAAUCGAUUGCCUUGUACUACACCGUCGACUGGCCUGGAGAGAUCGGCGUCCAGCAGGAGCAUAGCCAAGGCUGGCUCCAUUUCUGACGACCAUCGGCACCAUGGGCUCGGCAAGCUCCGAGCAGGAGCUGCCUAGCUAUUAGCAUCUCGACAACCGCGCGCGGGCGUGCCGGGCUUCUCGUCAGGCUUUUCUUGGACGCAGAGGAGGCCGACCACAAUUGAGUUCUUAAAGGCCUUGUUUAGUUGGUGAAAAUCUUUUAUUGUAAUAAUUUUAUUUGUAUUUGAUAAUUAUUAUCUAAUUAUAGACUAACUAUGUUUAAAAGAUUCGUCUUAUAAAUUACACAAACGGUAGAAUUAGUUAUUUUUUAUCUAUAUUUAAUGCUCUAUAUAUGUGUCCAA
RNAcentral lists this long non-coding RNA (26564 nucleotides) under Sorghum bicolor (sorghum). RNAcentral's name for it is "long non-coding RNA (SBIC_LNC001585)". The record is from RNAcentral. Lineage: Eukaryota; Viridiplantae; Streptophyta; Magnoliopsida; Poales; Poaceae.